Molecule: transfer RNA, 73 nt
Filed under: Ictidomys tridecemlineatus (thirteen-lined ground squirrel)
Lineage: Eukaryota; Metazoa; Chordata; Mammalia; Rodentia; Sciuridae
Description: Spermophilus tridecemlineatus (thirteen-lined ground squirrel) tRNA
Rfam family: tRNA
About the family: Transfer RNA (tRNA) molecules are approximately 80 nucleotides in length. Their secondary structure includes four short double-helical elements and three loops (D, anti-codon, and T loops).
Source: Rfam by way of RNAcentral
GGGGAUGUAGCUCAGUGGUAGAGUACUUGCCUAGUAUGUGGUGAGGCCCUAGGUUUAAUCCCCAGCUUCCCCC